UACGUAGGGUGCAAGCGUUGUCCGGAAUUAUUGGGUGUAAAGAGCUCGUAGGCGGUCUGUCGCGUCGGAUGUGAAAAUCCAGGGCUCAACCCUGGACCUGCAUUCGAUACGGGCAGACUAGAGUUCGGCAGGGGAGACUGGAAUUCCUGGUGUAGCGGUGAAAUGCGCAGAUAUCAGGAGGAACACCGGUGGCGAAGGCGGGUCUCUGGGCCGAAACUGACGCUGAGGAGCGAAAGCGUGGGGAGCAAACAGG
Molecule: ribosomal RNA, 253 nt
Filed under: uncultured bacterium
Lineage: Bacteria
Description: partial 16S ribosomal RNA
Rfam family: Bacterial small subunit ribosomal RNA
Source: RNAcentral